Molecule: ribosomal RNA, 444 nt
Filed under: Triticum aestivum (bread wheat)
Lineage: Eukaryota; Viridiplantae; Streptophyta; Magnoliopsida; Poales; Poaceae
Description: partial small subunit ribosomal RNA
Source: RNAcentral
AUGGAUUGUAGUCUUCGUAUCAUUUUUUGGAACGCGCGUGGGCACAACUAUCCGGCGAAACGCAGCGCUGUCCGAUCUGUCGUCACUAGUGCUCGCCCCUCGUUGGUCUGCUUGCAAGAGACGAAGCUCGACGAUGACACCCCCUAUCUUGUUGCCGACUCCCUUGGGCAUGAAUUCUCUAGCUUCUUCCACCUCCCCGCUGACGGCACACGGGGGGCAUCAUUCUUGCGUGGCGCCCUUCUGAGAUCACUCUCUCCAACCCCUUUGUUGGGACCCACUUCGUCGCAGCCUGUGCCACCAUUCCAGGCACUGACUCUCACUGGUCGAUCACGGGCGUCUACGGCCCUUAGGACGAGGCAGACAAGGUUUCCUUCUUUGUCGAUCUUUGUGAAUUCUGUGCCUCACAAACUGGCCCAUGGAUCAUCGACGGAGACUUUAACAUGA